This 433-nucleotide ribosomal RNA is filed under the name uncultured bacterium. RNAcentral describes it as "partial 16S ribosomal RNA". It matches the Rfam family "Bacterial small subunit ribosomal RNA", at positions 29 to 507 of the family's 1533-position model. The record is from RNAcentral.
AACGAACGCUGGCGGCAGGCCUAACACAUGCAAGUCGAGCGAGCAUUUCGGUGCUAGCGGCGGACGGGUGAGUAACGCGUGGGAACGUGCCCUUUUCUGCGGAAUAGUCCUGGGAAACUGGGGGUAGUACCGCAUACGCCCUUUUGGGGAAAGAUUUAUCGGAGAAGGAUCGGCCCGCGUUGGAUUAGGUAGUUGGUGGGGUAAUGGCCCACCAAGCCGACGAUCCAUAGCUGGUUUGAGAGGAUGAUCAGCCACACUGGGACUGAGACACGGCGCAGACUCCUACGGGAGGCAGCAGUGGGGAAUCUUAGACAAUGGGGGCAACCCUGAUCUAGCCAUGCCGCGUGAGUGAUGAAGGCCUUAGGGUUGUAAAGCUCUUUCAGCUGGGAAGAUAAUGACGGUACCAGCAGAAGAAGCCCCGGCUAACUCCGUG